Molecule: ribosomal RNA, 273 nt
Filed under: Triticum aestivum (bread wheat)
Lineage: Eukaryota; Viridiplantae; Streptophyta; Magnoliopsida; Poales; Poaceae
Description: partial small subunit ribosomal RNA
Source: RNAcentral
AUGGGUAUCCGGGAUUUUAACGAAAUCAUGUAUUCCCAUGAGAAAGAAGGCGGCAAUGCAAGACCAAAUGCAAUGAUGAGAGAAUUUCGUAAUUGUUUGGGAGACUGUGGCCUGGAAGAUUUGGGAUAUAUUGGGGAUCCUUUCACUUGGAGGAGAGGAGCAAUUAGGGAGAGACUAGACCGUGCUGUAUGUAAUGUGGAAUGGGCAAAUAAAUUUCCUCGUGCGGCGGUCAUAAAUGAAGAGCACGUACAUUCCGAUCAUCGUCCUCUAAUC